This 21-nucleotide non-coding RNA is filed under the name Caenorhabditis elegans. Lineage: Eukaryota; Metazoa; Nematoda; Chromadorea; Rhabditida; Rhabditidae. The record is from RNAcentral.
UUCUUCGAAAACUAUUUACAU